RNAcentral lists this ribosomal RNA (119 nucleotides) under Pteropus alecto (black flying fox). Lineage: Eukaryota; Metazoa; Chordata; Mammalia; Chiroptera; Pteropodidae. The record is from RNAcentral.
GUCUAUGGCCAUGCUACCCUGAACAAGCCUGAUCCCGUUUGAUCUCGGAAGCUAAGCAUGAUUGGGCCUGGUUAGUACUUGCACGGGAGACCACCUAGAAAGACCAGGCAUAAAAAAUA